CCUACGGGUGGCAGCAGUGAGGAAUAUUGGGCAAUGGUCGCAAGACUGACCCAGCAACGCCGCGUGAAGGAAGAAGGCAUACGGUAUGUAAACUUCUUUUUGCCGGGACGCAACAAGUGACGGUACCCGACGAAUAAGCCACGGCUAACUACGUGCCAAGAGCCGCGGUAAGCCGUAGGGGGCAAGCGUUAUCCGGAUUUAUUGGGUGUAAAGGGCGUGUAGGCGGGAAUGCAAGUCAGAGGUGAAAACUAUGGGCUCAACCCACAGCCUGCAGUUGAAACUGUAAGUCUUGAGUGCUGGAGAGGUAAUCGGAAUGCCGGGUGUAGCGGUGAAAUGCGUAGAUAUACGGAGGAACACCAGUGGCGAAGGCGGAUUGCUGGACAGAAACUGACGCUGAGGCGCGAAAGCGUGGGGAGCAAACAGGAUUAGAUACCCUAGUAGUC
This 443-nucleotide ribosomal RNA is filed under the name uncultured bacterium. RNAcentral describes it as "partial 16S ribosomal RNA". It matches the Rfam family "Bacterial small subunit ribosomal RNA", at positions 338 to 795 of the family's 1533-position model. The record is from RNAcentral.